AAGUCGUAACAAGGUUUCCGUAGGUGAACCUGCGGAAGGAUCAUUAAAAGUGAUUGGUUAUACAUCUUCAUGUAUCACUGCCAUUCACCAUUCCGAGCUUGCACCUUUGCCCUUGCUUGCGGUUCCCAUGGGGCCUGCACCUGAGGUCACUCUUGUGAUGUGAAACCCAAGAGAGUCCCCAUGGGAGGUAAUCAUUAAAUUCAUGUAUCCAAUGUCUUCUGUCUGAACUGUUUAUAACAAAUGUUAAAA
Molecule: unclassified non-coding RNA, 249 nt
Filed under: plant metagenome
Description: partial contains small subunit ribosomal RNA and internal transcribed spacer 1
Rfam family: Eukaryotic small subunit ribosomal RNA (bases 1-46)
Source: RNAcentral